UUCUUGUAGUCCGACAACGCUGUCGGCAGCCAUCUUAAGAAAACUCCACCCUUUUAGUACACAGGCUCUUAUGGAAGUAUUUUUUCAAAGUGAUUUUUGUCUUAACUGGAUUACAAUUUCGACCAAAGAAAAAUAGUGAAAAAUACUACAUAAUUCAGGGCAUCCCCUAACAUCUCAAAGUUCUAUAAGAAGUGUGUUGUCAAAGGGUGUCCUAACAAUGGAAUAGGAGAUAAGUCAGUUGGCGUACGGUUCUUUGGUAUUCCUGUCUCUCCAGACAACAGAUACCCAUCGGACUCAAUAAUUAUUCAGCAAAGAAGAGAACUCUGGUUAGCUAGGUUAAACAUCAAUGAUGCUAACAUCAAAACAAAACACUUGGUGUGUAAUCUUCAUUUUGCAUCUGGUAAGCUCCAAAUAUUGUACUUAACUCAUAACCAUUUAUAAGCUUAUUUGACUGUCAUAGGAAAACCAAGCUACUAUUUACA
Molecule: long non-coding RNA, 482 nt
Organism: Daphnia magna
Lineage: Eukaryota; Metazoa; Arthropoda; Branchiopoda; Diplostraca; Daphniidae
Exons: 2
Source: RefSeq, a predicted model, not a curated record